CCUACGGGCGGCAGCAGUGAGGAAUAUUGGUCAAUGGACGAGAGUCUGAACCAGCCAAGUAGCGUGAAGGAUGACUGCCCUAUGGGUUGUAAACUUCUUUUAUAUGGGAAUAAAAUGUUCCACGUGUGGGAUUUUGUAUGUACCAUAUGAAUAAGAAUCGGCUAACUCCGUGCCAGCAGCCGCGGUAAUACGGAGGAUCCGAUCGUUAUCCGGAUUUAUUGGGUUUAAAGGGAGCGUAGGUGGAUUGUUAAGUCAGUUGUGAAAGUUUGCGGCUCAACCGUAAAAUUGCAGUUGAAACUGGCAGUCUUGAGUACAGUAGAGGUGGGCGGAAUUCGUGGUGUAGCGGUGAAAUGCUUAGAUAUCACGAAGAACUCCGAUUGCGAAGGCAGUUCACUGGACUGCAACUGACACUGAGGCUCGAAAGUGUGGGUAUCAAACAGGAUUAGAUACCCGUGUAGUC
RNAcentral lists this ribosomal RNA (460 nucleotides) under uncultured bacterium. RNAcentral's name for it is "partial 16S ribosomal RNA". It matches the Rfam family "Bacterial small subunit ribosomal RNA", at positions 338 to 795 of the family's 1533-position model. The record is from RNAcentral.